UCUUAUUCUUAAAUAAAUAAAUUCCUAAGUUAGUAGUAGUUAUUUACUUAAAAAUUAAAAAAUUUGGCGGUAAUUUAAUCUUUCCAGAGGAACUUGUUUUUUAAUCGAUAAACCGCGAAAAAUCUUGCUUAUUAACAGUAAAGUUUGUAUACCGUCAUUAUUAGGUAAUUUUGAAAAAAUUAAUUACUAAAAAUAAAGGAUUAUAGAAAUUAGAUCAAGGUGCAGCUUAUAAAUAAGUUAAAAUGAGUUACAAUAAAAUUUUUUAUUAUGGAUAAAUAGAAGAAUUUUUAUUUUAAAGGUGGAUUUGGUUGUAUUUAAAGUUUAAUAUGCUUUGGAGAUAGUAGCUCUAAAUUAUGUACAUAU
RNAcentral lists this ribosomal RNA (363 nucleotides) under Clypeasterophilus stebbingi. RNAcentral describes it as "partial 12S ribosomal RNA". Lineage: Eukaryota; Metazoa; Arthropoda; Malacostraca; Decapoda; Pinnotheridae. RNAcentral also lists the same sequence under 1 other name. The record is from RNAcentral.